This is a non-coding RNA of Pelobates cultripes (western spadefoot toad), 481 nucleotides long. The record is from the annotation of a GenBank genome assembly. Lineage: Eukaryota; Metazoa; Chordata; Amphibia; Anura; Pelobatidae.
AUGUAGGUGGGGGCGGCGGUGGAGGAGGAGGAGGUAGCCAACACUGUUUAUAUAUAUAUAUAUAUAUAUAAAUAUAUAUAUUUUUUUAUUUUUAUUUUUAAUUGGGGUAGCCCCCAAAAUAUUGGGUCAUACAAAAAAAGAAACAUUUGCAGCCUGCGGUGCAUUUCUUGCAUUCCUGAUGCAUGGAGAAAUGCUCAACUCCUGAUGCAUGGAGAAAAUGCCUUCAUCACAAGGGCCACCCAGAACUGGCUUAACUCCCAUCAAGCCAAGUUCCCAGAGGAGAUCACCCAGCUCGUCAUGCUAGAGCACUUUUUCAAUGUGCUCCACAAUGAGAAGGCAACGACGCAUUCUAAUGUCUAACCAUAUCAACUUUCAAUGCCAUUGACUGCGCCUACCAUGGUGACAACGGGUAACGGGGAAUCAUGGUUUGAUUCCGUACAGGGACCCUGACAAACGGUUACCACAUGCAAGGAAAGCAGCA